Non-coding RNA from Phrynosoma platyrhinos (Desert horned lizard), 75 nucleotides. The record is from the annotation of a GenBank genome assembly. Lineage: Eukaryota; Metazoa; Chordata; Lepidosauria; Squamata; Phrynosomatidae.
UUUCAUGGUGUAGUGGUUUGAUGUUGGACUACGACUCUGAAGACCAGGGUUCGAAUUCCUGCUCAGCCAUGAAAA